RNAcentral lists this long non-coding RNA (222 nucleotides) under Elaeis guineensis (African oil palm). Its description in RNAcentral is "long non-coding RNA (EGUI_LNC071115)". The record is from RNAcentral. Lineage: Eukaryota; Viridiplantae; Streptophyta; Magnoliopsida; Arecales; Arecaceae.
CUGCAUAUUUUUGAAUAGUUAGCCAGUAGUAACCCUACCAAAUUACUUUAUAAGGGACCUGCCCCCCAGAUGGUUUUCACAUAUACCCUCAUGCACUUCUCGAAGUGCGUAAUCAGCUUUAUAUGGUAUCAAGCAACGAAGUAAAAGAAGAGAAUAAAUUUUUUUAUAGAAAUUAUUUUUUUGGAGAAUAUACCAUAGAGCUUGUCUUUUAAUGCUUCUGGC